CCAGCUGCCCAAAUAGCUGGGCAUUUUAAAAGAUUGUCUGGUUCCUUUCAACCCAGAGAGUGCUCAUUAAAGGGACGGGCCAGGCCGGGGGCAGUUUCCGUAUUCCGCCCAUAGUCAUACAGAGACCCCUAAAGGGUGGAGGGAUCACCAGGCUAGACCCACGCACCUGGUGCCGGUAGUCUCUGGCUGGGAGUCCGCACCAGCUUCCAGAGAGUGCCCACAAGGCUCAAGAUUGGGAGAAAUUUAAAGAUCAUUCCUCGCUCUCCCUCCUCCCCAUCCGAAUGAGUCGGCCUCUGAUUGGAUGGUCUUCUUUUCAACCGAUUCUAAUCUGCUGGUCCUGCAGGGGGAGGGAAACCAGCGGGUCUGAGUCUAGGGAGAGCUUCCAGCCUCGGCCAGAGCCUUAAAACAUGGACUUUUUUUUUGUUCUUAGAGACUCUUCCUAGUGCCGGAUCGGCCGGGGAGCUGGGGAGCCCGCUGCCGAUUGGGCAGUGUGGACAGCCGCGGAUGCAGUGGAUGAGGCUCUGAGGAAAACAGGAUUUGGAAAUUUGCCCAGAAUUAUGAAAAAAAUACUGUGCUUCAUUCUAGGACAGAAAAAAGAUGAAAAGGACAAUACCUGACCUCAAGAGACUUAAAAUAUAAUAAAGAUGGAAAAUAAAAAUAAAAAGAAGUAAAUUAACUACCUGUAUGCUAAAAAUUAUCUUUGUGCUUCCUAAGUAUGAUAAUUGUUAAUAAUUGCCGAUCAAAACAGAUUGAAAAAAAAAGAACUUUUACCCCCAUUUUAACACACAGGUAUACAUGGACCUUUUAAUAUACUCCAUGAAUAAAGGGAAAGGGACCUGUAUGUGCAAGAAUGUUCAUGGCAGCCCUCUUUGUAGUGGCCAGA
Molecule: long non-coding RNA, 883 nt
Organism: Sarcophilus harrisii (Tasmanian devil)
Lineage: Eukaryota; Metazoa; Chordata; Mammalia; Dasyuromorphia; Dasyuridae
Exons: 3
Source: RefSeq, a predicted model, not a curated record